Molecule: ribosomal RNA, 356 nt
Filed under: uncultured bacterium
Lineage: Bacteria
Description: bacterial SSU rRNA
Rfam family: Bacterial small subunit ribosomal RNA
Source: RNAcentral
AACGAACGCUGGCGGCGCGCCUAAUACAUGCAAGUCGAGCGAGAAGACGUAGCAAUACGUUUGUAAAGCGGCGAACGGGUGAGGAAUACAUGGGUAACCUACCCUCGAGUGGGGAAUAACUAGCCGAAAGGUUAGCUAAUACCGCGUACGCUCCUUGGACUUCGGUUCAGGGAGGAAAGCGAUACCGUGGGUAUCGCGCUCUUGGAUGGGCUCAUGUCCUAUCAGCUUGUUGGNGAGGUAACGGCUCACCAAGGCUUCGACGGGUAGCUGGUCUGAGAGGACGAUCAGCCACACUGGCACUGCGACACGGGCCAGACUCCUACGGGAGCAGCAGUAAGGAAUAUUGCGCAAUGGGC